GGCGCUUCCUCCUCGACUUCUCAACAGUAAUGUAUCGGCCCAGCAGAACAGACUGAUUCAGAUGCUUGAUACAACGUUCAGCAUCAUCAUUGGAGUCCAUGGUCACAAACGCAAACCCUCUGGAGAGGCGUGUGCGAGGUUCAACAACCAGAAGACAAUUAGCCACCUUUCCCUUCUUGGUAAAGUGGUCCUCGAGGUCCCUUUCUGUGACCCUUGUAGAAAGUCCAGUCACAUAAAGAGUAUUUCCAGGAU
Molecule: unclassified non-coding RNA, 252 nt
Filed under: Hevea brasiliensis (rubber tree)
Lineage: Eukaryota; Viridiplantae; Streptophyta; Magnoliopsida; Malpighiales; Euphorbiaceae
Source: RNAcentral